Molecule: long non-coding RNA, 707 nt
Organism: Anoplophora glabripennis (Asian longhorned beetle)
Lineage: Eukaryota; Metazoa; Arthropoda; Insecta; Coleoptera; Cerambycidae
Exons: 3
Source: RefSeq, a predicted model, not a curated record
UUGUCAGUUACUUUCUGCGCAUUUUACAAAAGAAGUAGUCCAGAAUGGACAACAAUCGUUCUAAUCAAUUGAAUUCUAACAAUCCUUCCUACUGGCAAAGUCGUGGAUUUGACGACAAACCUUCGGACACUGACAGGUCAGCCUAUUACUGCAGCCACCCAACACCUGACUAUUCCAAAGCUGACAUGGACAACAGAUCCAAUCAGCUUAAUCCAAAUAACCCUACAUAUCACAGCUCUAGGGGAGAUUCUAAGAAAUAAACAUUAAAAAUGCUGAUUUCUUCAAUACAAAUCAUUAAAGGAAUAUUUGCUUUUACAAAUUAAUGUAAACAAUAUUUUAUCUAUUACUUUAUUUUUUGUUAUUUGGGAAAAACAAUAUUUCAGCGAUAUUUAUCAUCUUGUACCAGAUUUUUAUGAAGCUAUGUAAUUAUGUAGGUACAUACCUAAAUGAACGUUAAAUAAGCAUAUUUACAAAAAUGUUGACAUUUUUGUGCAUUGAUGGUGGUAAUCAGUGUAGUAUGGGAAACAAUCUGAAGAAUUACAUGGCUUGAUAAAAAACUGGUAUAAGACGAUAAAUAUCGCUAAGUGGGUACCUAUAUAUUUUUCAAUUUGUACGUAAUUCAAAAAAUUAGGUGCAUGUGUUGUUCAAAUUAACAAGUAUGUAAGUAAAUGUAAAUAUCCUUUCAAUGAAUAAAAUUUAUACUGAAA